AAGUUUUUAUUAUAAAAAGUAUAAAUUAUUUACAUUAAUUAGGUUAAAAACUUU
This 54-nucleotide transfer RNA is filed under the name Aphelenchus avenae. RNAcentral's name for it is "tRNA-Val". The record is from RNAcentral. Lineage: Eukaryota; Metazoa; Nematoda; Chromadorea; Rhabditida; Aphelenchidae.